GCCGAGUUGUGACGAAUGACAACCAAUACAAACUGCAGAUCGUUCGAGUUCUUUGUUAGACUUGUUAUUUCGAACGCACCAAUGUUUUCACAAUAGGUCGGAUAUGCGUUUGAAUAUAUCGUUAAUUUUGGUUCAGUUCAACAAGCUUUCUUAACACAACAAUACUUGUCUCUCUCCACGUGUUUUGGGUUAGGCUAACUGAAGAAUUUCACGAUGUUUUUAAUGUACUAUGAAAAUGAAAGUGGGGAUCGUGUGUACACUUUAAAGGUAAUUAAUUGAUAAGUCAAUGGUAUCAAUUACAAAAAAACCCAAACAUUUUAUAAAUAAUUAAGUGUAAUUUAAAUGAUAACCAAAUAAAUUAAAUAUUCAAAAACAUAAAUUUGCAACUACACACUUAUACAGAUACUUUACUUCAGGAGCAGAAUAAUUACAACGAAUACGUAUACUAUAAUAUAUCAAAAAGUGAAAUACAGAGAUAACAAUGGUAAUUGAUAUAUACAUUUACACACAGACACACUUAAAAAUUUGCAUUGUGCAGUUGUGUACAUGGUGUAUAACGUUGCUGUUUUUCAUACCCUAAAUCUCUAAUAUUCAGUUUCUAUAGGAAUGUAGCAUUAUAGGAUAAUCUUUGAUUUUUACUAAGGCUCUGCAUUUUUUUUUUCUCUCUAGCCUUUUAUGUCACUUUUAUCGGUUCUGUUUUUUUUAUAGUUAUCCUGACUUUUUUUUUUACCUUAAAUGUCGGUUCCUGACUUUUUUUUUUGCAAGUGUCACAUCCUGUGCCUUUUUUUUACUCAAAACUCCUGUCCUGGCCUAUUUUAUUUCAAAUUUCAUCUAGCCCCCAUAAAAAUCAAAGAGUCAUAAUUAUUUGGACUAAUGUACAUCUUAAUAAUUUUCUGAUAAUUUUUUAUUUUAAAAUUGAGGACAUUUACAUUUUACAUUUAAAAUUUUAAAACUUUUUUUUAAAAGCAACCUCAAUCAGACAUACGCCAGAAUGUAAUCUUCAAAAUGUUGAUGAUUUUUUAACUAAAGAAGAGAAGAGACCCAGGUAAAGAAAUCUGUGUUUACUUUGUAACUAUCAUAUCAUUAAUGUACAAAAUUAUAGAAUAAUGAUCAAUAAUGAAAAUGUUGUUUUUCAAUACGUCAUACUCCUAUUAAUUUUAUAGUUGCAAGUCGUUAAUUGUAUUUCAUGUUUUAUUUCAGAAAACAGAUCCAGAAGGCAGACCUACACUGUCUGCACAUCCUGCAAGAUUUUCACCAGACGACAAAUAUUCAAGACAUAGAAACACAAUAAAGAAGAGAUUUGGCAUUCACCCAAUACAGCAACCAAAGGUGGAAAUGUGAAAUAACAAUAUUAAGCAUCAUUUGGAAAAAAGACAAACUGCCAUUUUGAAAUUGGAAAAAGACAAAACAUUAUUCAUACUAUCAAACUACAAAUACAUUUGUAACCAUUUGUAAACAUACUGAUGAACACAUCUUUAAAAACUUGUCUGACUCUGUCUAAAUAAAUGUUGAAACUUUUUGCAAAAAUAAACAAA
Molecule: long non-coding RNA, 1535 nt
Filed under: Mytilus galloprovincialis (Mediterranean mussel)
Lineage: Eukaryota; Metazoa; Mollusca; Bivalvia; Mytilida; Mytilidae
Source: RNAcentral